UACGGGGGGGGCAAGCGUUGUUCGGAAUUACUGGGCGUAAAGGGCUCGUAGGUGGCCAACUAAGUCAGACGUGAAAUCCCUCGGCUUAACCGGGGAACUGCGUCUGAUACUGGAUGGCUUGAGUUUGGGAGAGGGAUGCGGAAUUCCAGGUGUAGCGGUGAAAUGCGUAGGUAUCUGGAGGAACACCGGUGGCGAAGGCGGCAUCCUGGACCAACACUGACACUGAUGAGCGAAAGCCAGGGGAGCAAACGGG
This 253-nucleotide ribosomal RNA is filed under the name uncultured bacterium. Its description in RNAcentral is "partial 16S ribosomal RNA". It matches the Rfam family "Bacterial small subunit ribosomal RNA", at positions 524 to 776 of the family's 1533-position model. The record is from RNAcentral.